Molecule: ribosomal RNA, 645 nt
Filed under: uncultured fungus
Lineage: Eukaryota; Fungi
Description: eukaryotic LSU rRNA
Rfam family: 5.8S ribosomal RNA (bases 221-374)
Source: RNAcentral
AAGUCGUAACAAGGUUUCCGUAGGUGAACCUGCGGAAGGAUCAUUAAAGUGUUUUUGCCGUGCUUGCACGGCUCGGGGGACCGGGUCUAGGCCCAUGUCCCCCUUACCACUGCUCCUAACACCUGUGAACUGUCUGUCCGAGUCCUGGCGUGAGCCUUGGCUUGAACAUUUCUACCAAACUUACUCUGUAAAAAAUGUCAAUCUAUUAUAAAAUAAAUAAAACUUUUAACAACGGAUCUCUUGGCUCUCGCAUCGAUGAAGAACGCAGCGAAAUGCGAUAAGUAAUGUGAAUUGCAGAAUUCAGUGAAUCAUCGAAUCUUUGAACGCAGAUUGCGCUCCUUGGUAUUCCGAGGAGCAUGCCUGUUUGAGUGUCAUGUAAUCAACCACCCCGACUUUUGGUUCGUUCCGAUCGUCCUGGCUGGGAAGUGGGCGCUUGCCUCUGAUGAGGAGGCUCGCCUUAAACACAUGUUGGCCUGACUCUUGUCUAGGGCCGGUUUGACUUGGCGUUAUAAGUUAUUUCGCUGAGGACAUCUUCGGAUGGCCGGACCGACGACUCUGUCUUGUACCAGAGGUGCGAACCUCCUGCGUACACCACAAACACUGACCAAUUGGCCUCAAAUCAGGUAGGACUACCCGCUGAACUUA